RNAcentral lists this microRNA (21 nucleotides) under Anopheles gambiae (African malaria mosquito). RNAcentral describes it as "aga-miR-10366b-3p". Lineage: Eukaryota; Metazoa; Arthropoda; Insecta; Diptera; Culicidae. The record is from miRBase by way of RNAcentral.
CAAUCAUCGCCCUUUUUAAUG